This 497-nucleotide ribosomal RNA is filed under the name uncultured bacterium. RNAcentral's name for it is "partial 16S ribosomal RNA". It matches the Rfam family "Bacterial small subunit ribosomal RNA", at positions 28 to 507 of the family's 1533-position model. The record is from RNAcentral.
GAUGAACGCUGGCGGCGUGCCUAAUACAUGCAAGUCGAGCGAACAGAUGAGGAGCUUGCUCCUCUUACGUUAGCGGCGGACGGGUGAGUAACACGUGGAUAACCUACCUAUAAGACUGGGAUAACUUCGGGAAACCGGAGCUAAUACCGGAUAAUAUAUUUAACCGCAUGGUUCAAUAGUGAAAGACGGUUUUGCUUUCACUUAUAGAUGGAUCCGCGCCGCAUUAGCUAGUUGGUAAGGUAACGGCUUACCAAGGCAACGAUGCGUAGCCGACCUGAGAGGGUGAUCGGCCACACUGGAACUGAGACACGGUCAAGACUCCUACGGGAGGCAGCAGUAGGGAAUCUUCCGCAAUGGGCGAAAGCCUGACGGAGCAACGCCGCGUGAGUGAUGAAGGUCUUCGGAUCGUAAAACUCUGUUAUUAGGGAAGAACAAAUGUGUAAGUAAAUAUGCACGUCUUGACGGUACCUAAUCAGAAAGCCACGGCUAACUACGUG